AAGCAACCUUGUUGGCAUUGGCAGGGCUCAAAAGACUAAAUAUGACGGAGACUGUUACAGAAAUUCUCUCUGUCGAGGACAUGCUUCCAGCGAUCGCACAAGGUGCUAUUGGAAUAGCUUGCAGAACCGACGAUGAUAAAAUGAGUAAUUAUCUAGCUUCCCUGAACCACGAGGAGACCAGAUUGGCUAUUGCUUGUGAGAGGGCAUUUCUUGAGACAUUGGAUGGUUCUUGUCGCACUCCGAUUGCAGGGUAUGCUUAUCAGGACAAGGACGGGAAUUGCAUAUUCAGAGGAUUGGUGGCUUCACCUGAUGGAACUCGAGUUCUGGAGACGACGAGAGAAGGCCCUUUUGCCCACGAUGACAUGGUUUUAAUGGCUAAAGACGCCGGAAAAGAAUUGCUUACCAAGGGCGGCCCAAACUUCUUUAAUUGGUAAUCUGUCUGUCCACAGAAGGAAAAGCAAGAUGAGAAGAGAUGGAUAAAAUCGCGGCGUCGUUUUUAGUUUUCAUUUUUUAUUUUUCUUGAUUCGGUAGGUGUGUGGGUUGUAACAUCAAUGUUGUAUUCCCAAGUAGGCAAGGAUAGUGGCAAUUAACUCA
This 594-nucleotide unclassified non-coding RNA is filed under the name Hevea brasiliensis (rubber tree). Lineage: Eukaryota; Viridiplantae; Streptophyta; Magnoliopsida; Malpighiales; Euphorbiaceae. The record is from RNAcentral.